UACAGAGACUGCAAGCGUUGUUCGGAUUCAUUGGGCGUAAAGGGUCCGUAGGCGGUCGGUUAAGUCGGAUGUGAAAUCUCGUGGCCUAACCACGAGCGGUCAUUCGAAACUAAUCGGCUAGAGGGCUGGAGAGGUGAGUGGAAUUCCCAGUGUAGCGGUGAAAUGCGUAGAUAUUGGGAGGAACACCAGUGGCGAAGGCGGCUCACUUGACCGGUACUGACGCUGAUGCGCGAAAGCGUGGGGAGCAAACAGG
Molecule: ribosomal RNA, 253 nt
Filed under: uncultured bacterium
Lineage: Bacteria
Description: partial 16S ribosomal RNA
Rfam family: Bacterial small subunit ribosomal RNA
Source: RNAcentral